RNAcentral lists this ribosomal RNA (468 nucleotides) under uncultured bacterium. RNAcentral describes it as "partial 16S ribosomal RNA". It matches the Rfam family "Bacterial small subunit ribosomal RNA", at positions 28 to 507 of the family's 1533-position model. The record is from RNAcentral.
GACGAACGCUGGCGGCGUGCUUAACACAUGCAAGUCGAACGGAAAGGCCCUGCUUUUGUUGGGUGCUCGAGUGGCGAACGGGUGAGUAACACGUGAGUAACCCGCACCUGACUUUGGGAUAACUUCAGGAAACUGGGGCUAUUACCGGAUAUGAGCUCCUGCUGCAUGGGGUGGGUAGGAAAGUUUCGGUGGUGCUGGCUGGACUCGCGGCUUCCCAGCUUGUUUGUGGGGUAGUGACUUACCAAGGGUAUGACGGGUAGCCGGCAUGGGCGGGUGACCGGCCACAUUGGGACUACGAUAGGGCCCAGAAGCCUACGGGCGGCAGCAGGCGGGAAUAUUGCACAAUGGGGGGAAGCCUGAGGCGGCAGCCCCGCGUGCGGAAUGACGGCCUAUGGGGUGUAAACCGCUUUCGCAGGUGACGAGGCGUGAGUGACGGUAAUGGGUAAAGAAGCACCGGCUAACUACGUG